RNAcentral lists this long non-coding RNA (608 nucleotides) under Homo sapiens (human). Its description in RNAcentral is "HSALNT0222418". Lineage: Eukaryota; Metazoa; Chordata; Mammalia; Primates; Hominidae. The record is from RNAcentral.
GUCCAGGAGGCCUGGGCUGAGGACGUGGACCUCCGGGUGAACUUUGCCAUGAAUGUUGGCAAGGCCCGAGGCUUCUUCAAGAAGGGAGGUGGCACUGGUAGGUUGGGACACCAGGGAAGAAGAUCAACGCCUCACUGAAACAUGGCUGUGUUUGCAGCCUGCUCUAGUGGGACAGCCCAGAGCCUGGCUGCCCAUCAUGUGGCCCCACCCAAUCAAGGGAAGAAGGAGGAAUGCUGGACUGGAGGCCCCUGGAGCCAGAUGGCAAGAGGGUGACAGCUUCCUUUCCUGUGUGUACUCUGUCCAGUUCCUUUAGAAAAAAUGGAUGCCCAGAGGACUCCCAACCCUGGCUUGGGGUCAAGAAACAGCCAGCAAGAGUUAGGGGCCUUAGGGCACUGGGCUGUUGUUCCAUUGAAGCCGACUCUGGCCCUGGCCCUUACUUGCUUCUCUAGCUCUCUAGGCCUCUCCAGUUUGCACCUGUCCCCACCCUCCACUCAGCUGUCCUGCAGCAAACACUCCACCCUCCACCUUCCAUUUUCCCCCACUACUGCAGCACCUCCAGGCCUGUUGCUAUAGAGCCUACCUGUAUGUCAAUAAACAACAGCUGAAGC